Molecule: ribosomal RNA, 488 nt
Filed under: uncultured bacterium
Lineage: Bacteria
Description: partial 16S ribosomal RNA
Rfam family: Bacterial small subunit ribosomal RNA
Source: RNAcentral
GAUGAACGCUAGCGGCAGGCCUAAUACAUGCAAGUCGGACGGGAUCCAUUGAUAGCUUGCUAUCAAUGGUGAGAGUGGCGCACGGGUGCGUAACGCGUGAGCAACCUGCCUCCAUCAGGGGGAUAGCCUCUCGAAAGAGAGAUUAACACCGCAUAAUAUCAACAGUUCGCAUGUUCAGUUGAUUAAAUAUUUAUAGGAUGGAGAUGGGCUCGCGUGACAUUAGCUAGUUGGUAGGGUAACGGCUUACCAAGGCGACGAUGUCUAGGGGCUCUGAGAGGAGAAUCCCCCACACCGGUACCGGGGCACGGACCAGACUCCUACGGGAGGCAGCAGUAAGGAAUAUUGGGCAAUGGGCGGAAGCCUGAACCAGCCAUGCCGCGUGCAGGAUGACUGCCCUAUGGGUUGUAAACUGCUUUUGUCCAGGAAUAAACCUAAAUACGAGUAUUUAGCUGAAUGUACUGGAAGAAUAAGGAUCGGCUAACUCCGUG